UCUCCAUUCUAGCAAAACACCUGCUUCUGUCUUUCUGUCUCUUUGUCACACUUUAACCUUUCAUCCUCUGUCUGACACAAGUUCCUCUCCUCAAAUGCCCCUACCUCUCUCAUCAUUCCUUGUCUUGUGAGUUACUUGGUUACCCUGCCAGUGCUGGUGCCAUGUUAAAAACAUCCAGUCCACAUUGUAACAUGGUUGGCAUUUGGAAGGGCAUCCAUGCU
Molecule: long non-coding RNA, 221 nt
Organism: Octopus sinensis (East Asian common octopus)
Lineage: Eukaryota; Metazoa; Mollusca; Cephalopoda; Octopoda; Octopodidae
Exons: 3
Source: RefSeq, a predicted model, not a curated record